This 29-nucleotide non-coding RNA is filed under the name Mus musculus (house mouse). The record is from RNAcentral. Lineage: Eukaryota; Metazoa; Chordata; Mammalia; Rodentia; Muridae.
UCUCACUGUUUGGGUGUUCUUGCUGUGUA